RNAcentral lists this ribosomal RNA (252 nucleotides) under uncultured bacterium. RNAcentral describes it as "partial 16S ribosomal RNA". It matches the Rfam family "Bacterial small subunit ribosomal RNA", at positions 525 to 776 of the family's 1533-position model. The record is from RNAcentral.
ACGAAGGUCCCAAGCGUUGUUCGGAUUUACUGGGCGUAAAGCGUGCGUAGGCGGCGAGGUAAGUCAGAUGUGAAAUCCCGGGGCUCAACCCCGGAACUGCAUCCGAUACUGCCCUGCUAGAGUAAUGGAGGGGCAUCUGGAAUUCAUGGUGUAGCAGUGAAAUGCGUAGAUAUCAUGAGGAACACUAGUGGCGAAGGCGAGAUGCUGGACAUUUACUGACGCUGAGGUACGAAGGCCAGGGUAGCGAAAAGG